RNAcentral lists this ribosomal RNA (1551 nucleotides) under Salmonella enterica subsp. enterica serovar Kiambu. RNAcentral describes it as "bacterial LSU rRNA". It matches the Rfam family "Bacterial large subunit ribosomal RNA", at positions 1278 to 2812 of the family's 2925-position model. Lineage: Bacteria; Pseudomonadati; Pseudomonadota; Gammaproteobacteria; Enterobacterales; Enterobacteriaceae. The record is from RNAcentral.
GGUAUCAGAAGUGCGAAUGCUGACAUAAGUAACGAUAAAGCGGGUGAAAAGCCCGCUCGCCGGAAGACCAAGGGUUCCUGUCCAACGUUAAUCGGGGCAGGGUGAGUCGACCCCUAAGGCGAGGCCGAAAGGCGUAGUCGAUGGGAAACGGGUUAAUAUUCCCGUACUUGGUGUUACUGCGAAGGGGGGACGGAGAAGGCUAUGUUGGCCGGGCGACGGUUGUCCCGGUUUAAGCGUGUAGGUGUGUGUUCCAGGUAAAUCCGGUUCACUUUAACACUGAGGCGUGAUGACGAGGCACUACGGUGCUGAAGCAACAAAUGCCCUGCUUCCAGGAAAAGCCUCUAAGCAUCAGGUAACAUCAAAUCGUACCCCAAACCGACACAGGUGGUCAGGUAGAGAAUACCAAGGCGCUUGAGAGAACUCGGGUGAAGGAACUAGGCAAAAUGGUGCCGUAACUUCGGGAGAAGGCACGCUGACAUGUAGGUGAAGUGAUUUACUCAUGGAGCUGAAGUCAGUCGAAGAUACCAGCUGGCUGCAACUGUUUAUUAAAAACACAGCACUGUGCAAACACGAAAGUGGACGUAUACGGUGUGACGCCUGCCCGGUGCCGGAAGGUUAAUUGAUGGGGUCAGCGCAAGCGAAGCUCCUGAUCGAAGCCCCGGUAAACGGCGGCCGUAACUAUAACGGUCCUAAGGUAGCGAAAUUCCUUGUCGGGUAAGUUCCGACCUGCACGAAUGGCGUAAUGAUGGCCAGGCUGUCUCCACCCGAGACUCAGUGAAAUUGAACUCGCUGUGAAGAUGCAGUGUACCCGCGGCAAGACGGAAAGACCCCGUGAACCUUUACUAUAGCUUGACACUGAACAUUGAGCCUUGAUGUGUAGGAUAGGUGGGAGGCUUUGAAGCGUGGACGCCAGUCUGCGUGGAGCCGACCUUGAAAUACCACCCUUUAAUGUUUGAUGUUCUAACGUGGACCCGUUACCCGGGUUGCGGACAGUGUCUGGUGGGUAGUUUGACUGGGGCGGUCUCCUCCUAAAGAGUAACGGAGGAGCACGAAGGUUGGCUAAUCCUGGUCGGACAUCAGGAGGUUAGUGCAAUGGCAUAAGCCAGCUUGACUGCGAGCGUGACGGCGCGAGCAGGUGCGAAAGCAGGUCAUAGUGAUCCGGUGGUUCUGAAUGGAAGGGCCAUCGCUCAACGGAUAAAAGGUACUCCGGGGAUAACAGGCUGAUACCGCCCAAGAGUUCAUAUCGACGGCGGUGUUUGGCACCUCGAUGUCGGCUCAUCACAUCCUGGGGCUGAAGUAGGUCCCAAGGGUAUGGCUGUUCGCCAUUUAAAGUGGUACGCGAGCUGGGUUUAGAACGUCGUGAGACAGUUCGGUCCCUAUCUGCCGUGGGCGCUGGAGAACUGAGGGGGGCUGCUCCUAGUACGAGAGGACCGGAGUGGACGCAUCACUGGUGUUCGGGUUGUCAUGCCAAUGGCACUGCCCGGUAGCUAAAUGCGGAAGAGAUAAGUGCUGAAAGCAUCUAAGCACGAAACUUGCCCCGAGAUGAGUUCU